This 254-nucleotide ribosomal RNA is filed under the name uncultured bacterium. RNAcentral's name for it is "partial 16S ribosomal RNA". It matches the Rfam family "Bacterial small subunit ribosomal RNA", at positions 524 to 776 of the family's 1533-position model. The record is from RNAcentral.
UACAGAGGGUGCGAGCGUUGUUCGGAAUUAUUGGGCGUAAAGCGCUUGUAGGCGGCACGUCAAGUCGCGUGUGAAAUCCCCAGGCUUAACCUGGGAAGUGCGCGCGAAACUGACGAGCUUGAGUGCCGGAGAGGGUCGCGGAAUUCCCGGUGUAGAGGUGAAAUUCGUAGAUAUCGGGAGGAACACCAGUGGCGAAGGCGGCGACCUGGACGGACACUGGACGCUGAGACGCGAAAGCGUGGGGAGCAAACAGG